CCUACGGGAGGCAGCAGUGGGGAAUAUUGCACAAUGGAGGAAACCCUGAUGCAGCGACGCCGCGUGAAUGAAGAAGGGUUUCGGCAUGUAAAGCUCUAUCAGCAGGGAAGAAAAUGACGGUACCUGACUAAGAAGCACCGGCUAACUACGUGCCAGCAGCCGCGGUAAUACGUAGGGGGCAAGCGUUAUCCGGAUUUACUGGGUGUAAAGGGAGCGGAGGCGGUUUAGCAAGUCAGAAGUGAAAGCCCGGGGCUCAACCCCGGGACUGCUUUUGAAACUGUUGAACUAGAUUGCAGGAGAGGUAAGUGGAAUUCCUAGUGUAGCGGUGAAAUGCGUAGAUAUGAGGAGGAACACCAGUGGCGAAGGCGGCUUACUGGACUGCAAAUGACGCUGAGGCUCGAAAGCGUGGGGAGCGAACAGGAUUAGAUACCCGGGUAGUC
RNAcentral lists this ribosomal RNA (440 nucleotides) under uncultured bacterium. RNAcentral's name for it is "partial 16S ribosomal RNA". It matches the Rfam family "Bacterial small subunit ribosomal RNA", at positions 338 to 795 of the family's 1533-position model. The record is from RNAcentral.